UGAGCGGUCCGCCGCCCGCGACGUCGCGAGAAGUCCACUGAACCUUAUCAUUUAGAGGAAGGAGAAGUCGUAACAAGGUUUCCGUAGGUGAACCUGCGGAAGGAUCAUUGACCCGACCUAUCGACCGAACGACCCGUGAACAUGUUGUUUAACGACCCCGCGGGGGCGGAGCGGGCGCGAGCCCUCCACUCCGCUCUCGACGGGUCGGUGGGCCUCGUGAGGGAGCCUUUCCCUCCGCCCCGUGCCACACGCACGCGCGCGGGGGGGGGUCGUCUCGGGGGGGACCCUACCGAUCCAACAACGAACCCCGGCGCGGAAAGCGCCAAGGAAAACACAACGAAACAACGCCCUCCCGUCGCCCCGUCCGCGGGCGCGCGGGAAGGUGUGGUCGUUUAGCUCAUAAAAACGACUUUYGGCAAMGGAUAUUUAGGCYYYUGCAUUGAUGAAGAAAGUAGCAAAAUGCGAUACUUGGUKUGAAUUGCAGAAUUCCGUGAAUYAUYGAGUUUUUGAAAGCAAGUUGCGCCCGACGCCYUUAGGUUGAGGGCSCGCCUGCCUGGGGGUCAAGCACCCAUCGCCCCCUCCGCACCCCCCUGCCGAGCGAAAGCCAGGCGAGGGACCCGGAGCCGGGGCGGACGUUGUCCUCCCAUGGAACAUCGCGUCCGUGGUUGGUAUAAAAACCGGUCCCGCGGCGACGCACGCCACGACAAGCGGUGGUUUUGAAACUAUUCCUUUGUCGGGSGCGGCGCUUCGCCCAACGGGGCCCAUACGAAAGGCCCGAGAACCUCGAUCGCGACCCCAGGUCAGGCGGGAACACCCGCUGAGUUUAAGCAUAUCAAUAAGCGGAGGAAAAG
Molecule: unclassified non-coding RNA, 851 nt
Filed under: Tetrastigma cf. erubescens MR-2013
Lineage: Eukaryota; Viridiplantae; Streptophyta; Magnoliopsida; Vitales; Vitaceae
Description: sequence contains 18S rRNA gene, ITS1, 5.8S rRNA gene, ITS2 and 28S rRNA gene
Rfam family: 5.8S ribosomal RNA (bases 408-563)
Source: RNAcentral